This 936-nucleotide long non-coding RNA is filed under the name Marmota monax (woodchuck). Lineage: Eukaryota; Metazoa; Chordata; Mammalia; Rodentia; Sciuridae. The record is from RNAcentral.
UUUUCAUUUGCAGGGACCCUUAGGAGCUUGAAAUUCUGAUGGAGCUUCUCCCUGCCCCCCCCCAUGAUUACAAAAGGAAAUUAAUUUGAUUAUAGAAAUUUUAUGAAACACAGAAAAGUAUACAACAGUGGUUCUCAAAAGCAGCAAGAGCAUUUUUAGAAGAGGUUAUAAAAAUUCCUAAGGGCCCUUUCAGGGAACAUAGUGAUGGAGCAUGUUCUAGAUGCAUUUAUUGGAAGGGAUCAGAUAUGCCAGAUGCUAGAUUUCGAAAGAUGUCUCACAUCCAGCAGUUGUCCUGAGCUUGCUUGACUCUUGACUGUCUCCCAGGACAGUCUAAGAUGAAAACCUGUCUAGUAUCUGAGUCUCAAACCUUACUUGAUUUUAUGUACACACUCAAUUGGUAGGGAGCAGUUCUGAGAAUUCAAACACCAUGUAAAUUGAGGAGCAACUGCUGAGUUUUGCUCAUCCUGAUAGUAAUGCCAUUUAUAUUAUGAUGACUUAACAGAUUUUACAGGUCUGCAUUUUUCCUCAUGAGAAUCUUAAGAUGUAUCCAAACCUCUUACUGCUUUGUUAUGCCUCCUAAUGUUGUUGGAACAAGAAUUAACACAUUGGAAAGUACAUAUUUAGGGGCUGAAGGUGUGUCUCAGUGGUAGAGAGUGCAUGAGACUCUGAGUUCAAUCCCCAGCAUCCAAGUACACACACACACACAUACACACACAUACACAGUUUGUUAUAAAUUUCUUCACGUUUAUUUCUUCUCACUAUGUUAUUUUUCAUGAUUUUAACUAAGUUUGGUAUAAGUGAAUUUCAUUUCAGGAUAGUAAAUGUGAAGGGUAUUAAAAAUAUUUGUUGUAAAAAGGGAAUCAUUUUUUCUAUGAAGAAUAAGAAAAAACUUUCAUAACCAUACUAUUCAGAAAAAAAAUAUUGCUAGCAUUGUGG